UACGUAGGGUGCGAGCGUUGUCCGGAAUUAUUGGGCGUAAAGGGCUCGUAGGCGGUUUGUCGCGUCAGGAGUGAAAACUCGGGGCUUAACCCCGAGCCUGCUUCUGAUACGGGCAGACUAGAGGUAUGCAGGGGAGAACGGAAUUCCUGGUGUAGCGGUGAAAUGCGCAGAUAUCAGGAGGAACACCGGUGGCGAAGGCGGGUCUCUGGGCCGAUACUGACGCUGAGGAGCGAAAGCGUGGGGAGCGAACAGG
RNAcentral lists this ribosomal RNA (253 nucleotides) under uncultured bacterium. Its description in RNAcentral is "partial 16S ribosomal RNA". It matches the Rfam family "Bacterial small subunit ribosomal RNA", at positions 524 to 776 of the family's 1533-position model. The record is from RNAcentral.